This 67-nucleotide transfer RNA is filed under the name Streptococcus thermophilus. RNAcentral describes it as "tRNA-OTHER". Lineage: Bacteria; Bacillati; Bacillota; Bacilli; Lactobacillales; Streptococcaceae. The record is from RNAcentral.
AUAAGCGGGAAGCAAGAGCAAUGGAUUGAAGCUCCAUGUGUCGGCGGUUCGAUUCCGUCUCGCGCCA